CUAACAUUGCCACACACAUACACUGCCCACACACCCUACACAUUCACACACCACACCCCCACACACACACUGAACCUUUCACACACAUUGCACCACUGCUCCUAUUCCCUACUACAGCCUCAUAUCCCAGCAGACCCCAGGUAAGUUGUCAAACCGUUCUUAAACGGUUUGACUACUUACUCUGGAGCAGUAGUGGUUAUUGUGCAUGGAUUAUUUCUUUAAAUAAUCUACAAGUGCCCCAGUAGCCAGCCAGCCAACCCACAGGCUGGCCAGUAG
RNAcentral lists this long non-coding RNA (276 nucleotides) under Pelobates cultripes (western spadefoot toad). Lineage: Eukaryota; Metazoa; Chordata; Amphibia; Anura; Pelobatidae. The record is from RNAcentral.